Molecule: unclassified non-coding RNA, 223 nt
Filed under: uncultured Cortinarius
Lineage: Eukaryota; Fungi; Basidiomycota; Agaricomycetes; Agaricales; Cortinariaceae
Description: sequence contains ITS1, 5.8S rRNA gene, ITS2
Rfam family: 5.8S ribosomal RNA (bases 177-223)
Source: RNAcentral
GGAAGGAUCAUUAUUGAAUAAACCUGAUGGGUUGUUGCUGGCUCUCUAGGGAGCAUGUGCACACCUUGUCAUCUUUAUAUCUCCACCUGUGCACUUUUUGUAGACCUUUUCAGGUCUAUGUUGCUCCAUUUACCCCAAUGUAUGUUAAUAGAAUGUUGUGCCUAUAUAAUAUAUACAACUUUCAGCAACGGAUCUCUUGGCUCUCGCAUCGAUGAAGAACGCA